Molecule: long non-coding RNA, 1735 nt
Filed under: Sus scrofa (pig)
Lineage: Eukaryota; Metazoa; Chordata; Mammalia; Artiodactyla; Suidae
Description: lncRNA (ENSSSCG00045023934.1)
Source: RNAcentral
GUGACAGCCACGCCCCGCAUUUCCCGCCCUCCACCUGCGGAGUCCGGAACCGGCCCGCGGGUCCGCCUUUCCCAUCCCGGGUUCAGCCCCGAAAGCCAAAAAGAGUUCAGGCCGAGUCUCCGGCCCGCGGGAGGCCUGGAGGCGCCGCGAAGGCGGCUUGUCGCCUGGGAACGAUGCUGACGCCCGGCGCCACGAUCUCGGUCCCCCGGACGUGCCGAGGGUCGUGCGUCCAGGUUACUCCUGCGUCGCGUUCGAGCAGCCGGUGGCCCUUUCUCCUGGAAAGUCCACCUGUUCUCUCUGCGUGUACUUGAAAAGACUCCCAGCCUCUUGGUGAGAUGUGUGUGUACAGCUUCUGCACCCUGCCGUGGAUCUCCUGGGACAGAAUGGUCAGGAAGCACCCCGACACCAGCAGCCCCAGGAUCUGCUCCCUGGUGCGCAUCUCACAAGCCAAAGCCACCCACCCACCCACAGCAAAGCUCCAGAAGCCGCCUGAGGGUAUUUCGGGGACCAGUGGCCUCCGGGAAGCAGAACCCUCCGAGGGAGCUCCUGCACGUUCACUCUCAGAAGCCCUUUCCUCUUGGGAGCCCUUGUACUGCAAACCAAACGUGCCCAACUGCAAAGGCGCACCGGCUCCUUGCGAGGAUGCGAGGCGGGAGUCGGCGACUCCGAGAGAGUCCAGUCCAGACCAAGGGGUCCCACUCUGGCCCCCGCGCAGCGGGCUCGGCGCCCUGGCUUGGAUGGCCCGCAGGUUGCAGCCCGCAGCGCGACCGCGCGCCUACGCCCUGGGCAGCUGCCCCCGGUGAGCCUGGGAGAGCCAGCCUCAGAAUUACUGAUCAUCGCGCAGAUGAAGGAAGUGAAGCGCAGAGAACGUCAGGGACUUGGCCUCUGGCCUCGAACGCUGAAGAGCCCGAGGCCAACUCAGCUGGUUACCCCUCCCAAGCUUGCAGCAACGGCCCUGCGCCUGGUCUAGAGAUAGGAGGGGCCCUCUCCAGUACUGCAGGGGUUCUGGAAAGUACCUGCUGACUUACGGGGGUGCCUGCUCCCCGGACGCGUCUGCACAUCUUGUAGCGUGCAUAGAAAUCGGAAGCACACAAUCAGUUCAUAGGUUCUUAUUUUCAAGAUCUCGCACCUCGCAGAACUCGAGAACCUCCAUGGCGCAUCCUCAUGGUUUAUUCCUCGACAGGAAGCGGAUUGGGCCAAAGCUGGGCGACUGCCCCAACGCUCCAGCCCGAGGCUGGCCGGCGCUCCUGGCGCCAUCUGCUGGCGGCUUCCUUGAACUACAUCAGACAGCCCUGGGGCCUGGUGGGUUGCUAAGGCCUUGGGGGACAGACAGGGUCACCCGUUUGACAAAGGGAAGAGAAGAAAGAGAAGGGCGGUCUUGAGGCACAGAGGGAGCGGGAGGAGUGGGCGUCGGUGUGAGACGGCGGAGGGAGCCCCUGCUUUAGCCAUUGCGCUGUGAUUCCCAGGUUGAUAGGCUUUGACUUUGUAUUAAAUUUGACUCUGGGGCGAGGGCCCCCAGCGGUGCAACGCUGACCGGCAGGGAUCCGCAGGGGGCUUGUAUUACGGUUUUGUCUCUGGCAUGGAUGUCAUAAUUGUUUGAGUUAAUUUUUGCAUAGGAUGUGAGUUAAGUUUUGUUUUUAAAGGUGUGCUUUCCCAAUGUUUCCAGUACUAUUUGUUGAAAAUAUUUUCUUCAUUGUAUUGCUUUGACACCUUGGUAAAAAGUCACUUGUCCAAU